UACGUAGGGUGCGAGCGUUAAUCGGAAUUACUGGGCGUAAAGCGUGCGCAGGCGGUUCGUUGUGUCGGCGGUGAAAGCCCCGGGCUUAACCUGGGAAUGGCAUUUGGGACUGCAAGGCUUGAGUGCGGCAGAGGAGACUGGAAUUCCUGGUGUAGCAGUGAAAUGCGUAGAUAUCAGGAGGAAUACCGAUGGCGAAGGCAGGUCUCUGGGCUGACACUGACGCUCAUGCACGAAAGCGUGGGGAGCAAACAGG
Molecule: ribosomal RNA, 253 nt
Filed under: uncultured bacterium
Lineage: Bacteria
Description: partial 16S ribosomal RNA
Rfam family: Bacterial small subunit ribosomal RNA
Source: RNAcentral